CACCAUCCCAGGCUGUUUUUCCCCCCAUAAACUCUCCCUCUCUCUCUCUCUCCUUGCAGCGCCGUUUUCUUUGUCACCUACCUGAUCCUCGCCUGCUGCUCCGGGCCCAGGAGGUACUUCCCAUGGAACCUGAUCCUGCUCAGCAUCUUUACCCUGUCCAUGGCCUAUCUCACUGCCAUGCUCUCCAGGUGGGUUGGGCACUGCCCUGUGUCCUGUCUCUUCCUGAAAGCAUUCC
This 235-nucleotide long non-coding RNA is filed under the name Junco hyemalis (dark-eyed junco). RNAcentral's name for it is "lncRNA (ENSJHYG00000004237.1)". Lineage: Eukaryota; Metazoa; Chordata; Aves; Passeriformes; Passerellidae. The record is from RNAcentral.